UUUGUGUAUGAGGGGGGGGGAGAGAGGGAGGAGGGGGAUUUAUGCUCAAUUUCAUUAGGUUUUUGGCCGGGGGAGGAGUUGUUAUCUGGAGCCAUAAACCCAUUCCCAUUUGAUUACCGGCUAUUGAUUGAGGCAUUAAAUUGGUCUCCGUUGAGUACGGCGGCAUGUGAAGACGUGUUGGACGCGCUAUCAGACCUGACAGGAAGUAGGACUGGAUUAAAGACGAGAUGGCCACCUUCAGCCACAGUGACCGAGCAGACUAGCUGGUCAUGAAGGAGGUUAAAUAACGCUCCAAACUUACACUAAAUGUUGUCGAGGGAAAACU
This is a long non-coding RNA of Sebastes umbrosus (honeycomb rockfish), 325 nucleotides long. RefSeq lists it as uncharacterized. The record is from RefSeq and is a predicted model, not a curated record. The transcript has 3 exons. NCBI's taxonomy places the organism in Eukaryota, Metazoa, Chordata, Actinopteri, Perciformes, Sebastidae.